This 821-nucleotide long non-coding RNA is filed under the name Corvus moneduloides (New Caledonian crow). RNAcentral's name for it is "lncRNA (ENSCMUG00000019835.1)". The record is from RNAcentral. Lineage: Eukaryota; Metazoa; Chordata; Aves; Passeriformes; Corvidae.
GACGAAAAAGGGGGAAUUUGAGGCGAAAAUCGGGAAUUUGGGGUGAAAAAUCGGAAAUUUGGGGCUAAAAAUUGGGAAAAUGGGGUGAAAUCCGGGAAUUUGGGGCGAAAUUCGGGAAAUUGGGGUUUAAAAAGGGGAAUUUGGGGUGAAAAAUCGGGAAUUUGGGGUGAAAAUCGGGAAUUUGGGGUGAACAAAAGGGGAAUUGGGGAUGAAAAAUCGGGAAUUUGGGAUUAAAAAUCGGGAAUUUGGGGUGAAAAUCGGGAAAUUAUGGUGAAAAAUGGGGAAUUAGGGUGAAAAAAGGGGAAUUUGGACUGAAGUUCGGGAAUUUAGGGUGAAAAAAACGGGAUCCGCCCGCGGUUGGGGCUGCAUCACCGGUGAUCCCUCCGCCGGCAGGACCGCAUCACAAAUAGUCCCUCCUGGCGGAUCACUCCGCGGCCGGGCCGCAUUACCGCGGGUCCGUCCGGCGGGUCCCUCUGUUUUUCACAUUUGGGGGAUCCCAGGCUGCUUAACUGGAUGGUGACAGUUUCAAAGUCACGGCUGUGCUGAGCAUUUCACAGCUCUGCAGGGAUUUCAGAGCUACAGUGGAAGAUAUAUUUCUUGUGGAUGUUGCUGUGAGAUUGCAGAAGUCUUGGAAUUAUCCUCUCCCAGAUUAUCCUCCUCACAGUUCAUUCCUAUGGGAUGUGGCCAUGGAGGAAUUGGAAUAUUUGGGAAUAGUCAAGGAGGUUACAGCACCUAUUUUUCCCUCUCCGUCACUCCUCUGGCACCUCAUUAGUGCAGCAUCGCCCAUUCAGCCUUGUGUCUCAUUGCAACAGGAUUGCUGA